CUCCUGUUACGUAUACUGAAGGUAUACCGGACAGAAAACACUCAGGAUACAUUCAGUAUACGUACAGGGG
This is a microRNA precursor of Tribolium castaneum (red flour beetle), 70 nucleotides long. It matches the Rfam family "mir-iab-4 microRNA precursor family". NCBI's taxonomy places the organism in Eukaryota, Metazoa, Arthropoda, Insecta, Coleoptera, Tenebrionidae. The record is from Rfam.